RNAcentral lists this ribosomal RNA (465 nucleotides) under Vreelandella stevensii. RNAcentral's name for it is "partial 16S ribosomal RNA". It matches the Rfam family "Bacterial small subunit ribosomal RNA", at positions 338 to 795 of the family's 1533-position model. The record is from RNAcentral. Lineage: Bacteria; Pseudomonadati; Pseudomonadota; Gammaproteobacteria; Oceanospirillales; Halomonadaceae.
CCUACGGGAGGCAGCAGUGGGGAAUAUUGGACAAUGGGCGAAAGCCUGAUCCAGCAAUGCCGCGUGUGUGAAGAAGGCCUUCGGGUUGUAAAGCACUUUCAGUGGGGAAGAAAGCCUUGGGGCUAAUACCCUCGAGGAAGGACAUCACCCACAGAAGAAGCACCGGCUAACUCCGUGCCAGCAGCCGCGGUAAUACGGAGGGUGCGAGCGUUAAUCGGAAUUACUGGGCGUAAAGCGCGCGUAGGCGGUCUGAUAAGCCGGUUGUGAAAGCCCCGGGCUCAACCUGGGAACGGCAUCCGGAACUGUCAGGCUAGAGUGCAGGAGAGGAAGGUAGAAUUCCCGGUGUAGCGGUGAAAUGCGUAGAGAUCGGGAGGAAUACCAGUGGCGAAGGCGGCCUUCUGGACUGACACUGACGCUGAGGUGCGAAAGCGUGGGUAGCAAACAGGAUUAGAUACCCUGGUAGUC